AGGGCACCACCAGGAGUGGAGCCUGCGGCUUAAUUUGACUCAACACGGGGAAACUUACCCGGCCUGGACACUGGAAGGAUUGACAGAUUGAGAGCUCUUUCUUGAUUCCGUGGGUGGUGGUGCAUGGCCGUUCUUAGUUGGUGGAGCGAUUUGUCUGGUUAAUUCCGAUAACGAACGAGACUCUAGCCUAUUAAAUAGGCUCCCGGCUUUUAAACGCCGGGAGGACUUCUUAGAGGGACAGGUGGCGGUUCAGCCGCACGAAAGAGAGCAAUAACAGGUCUGUGAUGCCCUUUGUUGUCCGGGGCCGCACGCGCGCUACACUGAAGAGAUCAGCGUGCUUUAUGUUCCUGCUCCGACCGGAGUGGGGAACCCAGUGAACCUUCUUCGUGAUUGGGAUAGAUGAUUGUAAUUAUUCUUCUUGAACGAGGAAUUCCCGGUAAAUGCGAGUCAUAAGCUCGCGUUGAUUACGUCCCUGCCCUUUGUACACACCGCCCGUCGCUACUACCGAUUGAACGAUUU
Molecule: ribosomal RNA, 519 nt
Filed under: uncultured eukaryote
Lineage: Eukaryota
Description: SSU rRNA
Rfam family: Eukaryotic small subunit ribosomal RNA
Source: RNAcentral